GCAUCGGAACGUGUCCCGUAGUGGGGGAUAACCCGGCGAAAGCCGGACUAAUACCGCAUAUGCUCUACGGAGGAAAGUGGGGGACCUGCAAGGGCCUCACGCUAUGGGAGCGGCCGAUGUCCGAUUAGCUUGUUGGUGAGGUAAUGGCUCACCAAGGCGACGAUCUGUAGCUGGUCUGAGAGGACGACCAGCCACACUGGGACUGAGACACGGCCCAG
This 218-nucleotide ribosomal RNA is filed under the name uncultured bacterium. RNAcentral's name for it is "partial 16S ribosomal RNA". It matches the Rfam family "Bacterial small subunit ribosomal RNA", at positions 115 to 334 of the family's 1533-position model. The record is from RNAcentral.